AGUGAACGCUGGCGGCGUGCUUAACACAUGCAAGUCGAACGAGAACGGAUUAUAGCUUGCUAUAAUUGUCAGCUAAGUGGCGCACGGGUGAGUAAUGUAUAGGUAAUAUGCCUCUUACUAAGGGAUAACAAAUGGAAACGUUUGCUAAUACCUUAUACUCCUUAUUAACAGAAGUUAAUAAGGGAAAGAUUUAUUGGUAAGAGAUUAGCCUGUAUUGUAUCAGUUAGUUGGUGGGGUAAUGGCUUACCAAGACUAUGACACAUAACUGGUUUGAGAGGAUGACCAGUCACACUGGAAGUGAGACACGGUCCAGACUCCUACGGGAGGCAGCAGAGGGGAAUAUUGCACAAUGGACGAAAGUCUGAUGCAGCAACGCCGCGUGGAGGAUGACACACUUCGGUGCGUAAACUCCUUUUAUAUGAGAAGAUAAUGACGGUAUUAUAUGAAUAAGCACCGGCUAACUCCGUGCCAGCAGCCGCCGUAA
RNAcentral lists this ribosomal RNA (484 nucleotides) under uncultured bacterium. RNAcentral's name for it is "partial 16S ribosomal RNA". It matches the Rfam family "Bacterial small subunit ribosomal RNA", at positions 29 to 523 of the family's 1533-position model. The record is from RNAcentral.